CCUACGGGAGGCAGCAGUGGGGAAUAUUGGGCAAUGGGCGCAAGCCUGAACCAGUAACGCCGCGUGAAGGAAGACGGCUCUCGGGUUGUAAACUUUCUUUAAGAGGGAAGAGCAGAAGACGGUACCUCUUGAAUAAGCCACGGCUAACUACGUGCCAGCAGCCGCGGUAAUGCGUAGGUGGCAAGCGUUGUCCGGAUUUACUGGGUGUAAAGGGCGUGCAGCCGGGAAGACAAGUCAGAUGUGAAAUCCCGCGGCUCAACCGCGGAACUGCAUGUGAAACUGUUUUUCUUGAGUACCGGAGAGGUCAUCGGAAUUCCUGGUGUAGCGGUGAAAUGCGUAGAUAUAAGGAAGAACACCAGUGGCGAAGGCAGAUGACUGGACGGCAACUGACGGUGAGGCGCGAAAGCGUGGGGAGCAAACAGGAUUAGAUACCCCUGUAGUC
RNAcentral lists this ribosomal RNA (442 nucleotides) under uncultured bacterium. RNAcentral's name for it is "partial 16S ribosomal RNA". It matches the Rfam family "Bacterial small subunit ribosomal RNA", at positions 338 to 795 of the family's 1533-position model. The record is from RNAcentral.